GAUGAACGCUGGCGGCGUGCCUAAUACAUGCAAGUCGAGCGAACGGACGAGAAGCUUGCUUCUCUGAUGUUAGCGGCGGACGGGUGAGUAACACGUGGAUAACCUACCUAUAAGACUGGGAUAACUUCGGGAAACCGGAGCUAAUACCGGAUAAUAUUUUGAACCGCAUGGUUCAAAAGUGAAAGACGGUCUUGCUGUCACUUAUAGAUGGAUCCGCGCUGCAUUAGCUAGUUGGUAAGGUAACGGCUUACCAAGGCAACGAUGCAUAGCCGACCUGAGAGGGUGAUCGGCCACACUGGAACUGAGACACGGUCCAGACUCCUACGGGAGGCAGCAGUAGGGAAUCUUCCGCAAUGGGCGAAAGCCUGACGGAGCAACGCCGCGUGAGUGAUGAAGGUCUUCGGAUCGUAAAACUCUGUUAUUAGGGAAGAACAUAUGUGUAAGUAACUGUGCACAUCUUGACGGUACCUAAUCAGAAAGCCACGGCUAACUACGUGCCAGCAGCCGCGGUAAUACGUAAGUGGCAAGCGUUAUCCGGAUUUAUUGGGCGUAAAGCGCGCGUAGGCGGUUUUUUAGUCUGAUGUGAAAGCCCACGGCUCAACCGUGGAGGGUCAUUGGAAACUGGAAAACUUGAGUGCAGAAGAGGAAAGUGGAAUUCCAUGUGUAGCGGUGAAAUGCGCAGAGAUAUGGAGGAACACCAGUGGCGAAGGCGACUUUCUGGUCUGUAACUGACGCUGAUGUGCGAAAGCGUGGGGAUCAAACAGGAUUAGAUACCCUGGUAGUCCACGCCGUAAACGAUGAGUGCUAAGUGUUAGGGGGUUUCCGCCCCUUAGUGCUGCAGCUAACGCAUUAAGCACUCCGCCUGGGGAGUACGACCGCAAGGUUGAAACUCAAAGGAAUUGACGGGGACCCGCACAAGCGGUGGAGCAUGUGGUUUAAUUCGAAGCAACGCGAAGAACCUUACCAAAUCUUGACAUCCUUUGACAACUCUAGAGAUAGAGCCUUCCCCUUCGGGGGACAAAGUGACAGGUGGUGCAUGGUUGUCGUCAGCUCGUGUCGUGAGAUGUUGGGUUAAGUCCCGCAACGAGCGCAACCCUUAAGCUUAGUUGCCAUCAUUAAGUUGGGCACUCUAAGUUGACUGCCGGUGACAAACCGGAGGAAGGUGGGGAUGACGUCAAAUCAUCAUGCCCCUUAUGAUUUGGGCUACACACGUGCUACAAUGGACAAUACAAAGGGCAGCGAAACCGCGAGGUCAAGCAAAUCCCAUAAAGUUGUUCUCAGUUCGGAUUGUAGUCUGCAACUCGACUACAUGAAGCUGGAAUCGCUAGUAAUCGUAGAUCAGCAUGCUACGGUGAAUACGUUCCCGGGUCU
RNAcentral lists this ribosomal RNA (1371 nucleotides) under uncultured bacterium. RNAcentral's name for it is "bacterial SSU rRNA". It matches the Rfam family "Bacterial small subunit ribosomal RNA", at positions 28 to 1381 of the family's 1533-position model. The record is from RNAcentral.